Molecule: long non-coding RNA, 518 nt
Organism: Bicyclus anynana (squinting bush brown)
Lineage: Eukaryota; Metazoa; Arthropoda; Insecta; Lepidoptera; Nymphalidae
Exons: 3
Source: RefSeq, a predicted model, not a curated record
UCUAUCGACAUGGCUUGGAGAAGAUACACGUUGUCUUGAUUUUAAUUUUGAAAAUAAAUAGUGUUUUUUUUCUAAAACUAUUAUAUAUUCUAAGUAAUAUUAACGUCAUGGAUUAGACAGAGGAUUCAAAACAAUAACUCAUAAAAAUGUGGCUAUUUCAAUUAAGGGAUCAAAACUAUUUUGAAGCGUACUAUCAAAAUACGAACUUGCCCCAUACACUAUAAAGAGUCAUACACUAUAAAGAGUCAGGAAGAGAAAUUCCUAAAGGUCAUUAAGACGAUCCAAACAAUGUUGAAGUGUGCUAUCAAAGUACAAACUUGCCACAGUUAUGGGAGAGAAGUUCCUAAGUCAAGCCGUAAUUUAGUGGAGAAGCAUUGACUAGCUUAUCCCCAGGCAGCUUGGCGGUCGGCGUGGCCGGCGGGGGCGAAGGCGGCGCUGGCGCGGGCGGCUCCGGCGAGGCUGGCCGACUGCGGGGCCAGAAGUCCAUCUUGAAGCCGCGCUGCGCGUCGGGCUGCAGC